AUGGUGUCUAGCAACGUUGGGUACCUCGUUUCUUGUGUGUGUGAGCGAGUGGUUGCUGUUUACGAUGUGUUCAUAUAUCGCUUUGUAGUGCUGUAAUGUGCAAAUUAGCGGACUUUAUAGCGGCUCUCUAUUUUCCGUCGUUGUCUUUCGAGCAGCGCCUGUUGUUCCGGUAAAAAUCGAGUUGAAUGAAUCGCCACAGCCCCAACGUAUAUCGCGCAGUGUUGACCAAGACCAAGUCAAGCAGGAAUUCUGGCAUGGUAUGUGGCUGCACGAAGGAUUCCGGAAAAGAAAAACAACAACAUGGCUAAUAGGAUGUUGCUGCCCAGGGAGUCCUGGCGAAGAGGUUUACUCAUUCCAGAAGCAAGAAUUGUAUCAUUGUAAGGCGAAUGGAAAUAAACUGACAUCGACUGAGA
Long non-coding RNA from Ornithodoros turicata, 413 nucleotides. RefSeq lists it as uncharacterized. The record is from RefSeq and is a predicted model, not a curated record. Lineage: Eukaryota; Metazoa; Arthropoda; Arachnida; Ixodida; Argasidae. The transcript is spliced from 3 exons.